UGGGGAAUAUUGGACAAUGGGCGAAAGCCUGAUCCAGCCAUGCCGCGUGUGUGAAGAAGGUCUUCGGAUUGUAAAGCACUUUAAGUUGGGAGGAAGGGCAGUAAGCUAAUACCUUGCUGUUUUGACGUUACCGACAGAAUAAGCACCGGCUAACUCUGUGCCAGCAGCCGCGGUAAUACAGAGGGUGCAAGCGUUAAUCGGAAUUACUGGGCGUAAAGCGCGCGUAGGGGGUUUGUUAAGUUGGAUGUGAAAGCCCCGGGCUCAACCUGGGAACUGCAUCCAAAACUGGCAGGCUAGAGUACGGUAGAGGGUGGUGGAAUUUCCUGUGUAGCGGUGAAAUGCGUAGAUAUAGGAAGGAACACCAGUGGCGAAGGCGACCACCUGGACUGAUACUGACACUGAGGUGCGAAAGCGUGGGGAGCAAACA
RNAcentral lists this ribosomal RNA (427 nucleotides) under uncultured bacterium. Its description in RNAcentral is "partial 16S ribosomal RNA". It matches the Rfam family "Bacterial small subunit ribosomal RNA", at positions 355 to 774 of the family's 1533-position model. The record is from RNAcentral.